CAGGAGGUGCUCUCACCCCAGCCCAGUGUGCUGUGCUAUACCGAUGUUCAUGGCUGCAUCAUGCCAUUGUCUGCAGGAUCCGCAAUUGUUGCUGGGCUUUGUGUGGUCUGAGGCUGCAGCUAAGCCCCCUUCCACGGCGGUUUCGGAGGGGAUACCGUUGUCCGGGAUAACGCGAUGGUGCAUGUGAGUGCCGGACGGUGUUUCCGUGUCUCUUUUAAUGCAAUCUGAUGACAUGUCUUUGCUAGCCGGAAUGCCUGCGAACCUGCAUGCUCGUAGCCUAGCGAGAACUUCCCCGGCUCCCAGAAGCGGUGAGGGGAUGACGGGUUGUUGCAGCACCGAGGUAACCCUACACAGCUACUCCGUACACACCACAACAAUCCCCCACUACUUCGCCUCUAAUUCAGUCAUUCCACCAACUCCUCUGGUGAGGAUAUGACUAAGGACGCGAAGGACGGGCAAUAAUAAAAACAGACGCUCGCACACACA
Molecule: long non-coding RNA, 486 nt
Organism: Pseudopipra pipra
Lineage: Eukaryota; Metazoa; Chordata; Aves; Passeriformes; Pipridae
Exons: 2
Source: RefSeq, a predicted model, not a curated record